UGGACAUUGAAUUCGAAUGUGCGGUCUCCGGUAAACCAGUCCCUACAGUGCAGUGGAUCAAGAAUGGAGAAGUUGUCAUUCCUAGCGAUUAUUUUCAGAUAGUGGGUGGCAGCAACUUGCGAAUUCUAGGACUGGUAAAGUCGGAUGAAGGAUUCUACCAGUGUGUAGCUGAAAAUGACGCCGGGAACACACAGACCAGCGCACAGCUAAUCAUCCCAGAGCCUGCUAUCCCAAGUUCCAGCAUCCUUCCCUCUGCUCCCCGAGAUGUGGUCCCUGUUUUGGUCUCCAGUCG
Non-coding RNA from Pogona vitticeps (central bearded dragon), 292 nucleotides. Lineage: Eukaryota; Metazoa; Chordata; Lepidosauria; Squamata; Agamidae. The record is from RefSeq and is a predicted model, not a curated record.